GAAAAAAAAAAUAAAAAAAAAAUGGAUGGCAUUUUCGUAAAUUAUAUGAAUUUGUGGGGUGAAUAGGGCAAAACCAAUUUUCAAAAAAAAAAGAGGUUAGUUUUGUGUUUGACUUUAAGUUAUAGGUCAAUUUUGCAAAAAUCCCUUAAUAUUAUGUUUGUUGAGUUGGUUCAAGUAUUUGUAACAACUUUUUAUAUAUACAAUCUUAAACCAUUUUUGGCUUUUGCGAUGAUAAAAUGAUUUUUCACUAAAUUUCAUUCAUUAAAUGAUACAAGGUAACAUAUAGUGAAAUAUAUAUAUUCCAAGACCUGAAAAUACACAAAUGAUCAAGAAAAGAAAAAUAAAUCACACAACUUCAGCCGGAUAACGAAACAACAACGAUUAUCAAAAUUAUCUACACUAAAACGAUAGCAUCAGACUAGCAAAUAACUCUUAAGAACAAAAAGUUUAACGAUGAAAGACGAGACGGGAAAAUCUUUGUUAUACUGUUCAAGAGCAACAAAAAAUCAAACCUAAUCUAAUGACCAAAGAUAUAAAUAACUAAAGUAAAGAACCAACCAGGAGACAAACCUCAUUUUGCAAUUAGUUCUUUGAACGACCGACAAAAAGCUAACGACGAAAAAGUAAUUAAAAAAAGUAAUUCAGAAGUUAAAAGAAAAUUGGCCAUUUUCUGGUCUCCUGACGGUAAAUAAAAGACUUGUUGAAAAGUAUUUGGAGCCUAAUAAUAGUUGUCUAAUUUCAAACACCAAGAGAAUCUUCAAAAAUCACUCUAUAACUUUAAAUAUGAAAUGUUUUGCUUUAUAAAAAUAAUUGAAAAACUUCAAAUUUAAAAUGUGAAAAAUGAAAUUCUAUAUUUGAAGUUUGACUACUCAAUACAUUAAAUUUGUAGUUUCGUAUUUUUGUUUGCAUUAGUCCCUACAAUUCACAUCACAUUUUUUAUUCUAAAAUAUUUUAUUGUUUAUCGUUUUACUCUUUAUAAAUUUAAUUUUUACACAUAAAAUUAAAUAAUACUUUAAAAUAAUAUUUAAAAAAUUUAAAACUAGAUUUAGACAAUAACAAUAUACAAAAAAACUUAACAAAAAAAUAUUAAAAAAAUUACACAAAUUUAAAUAUUUCAACAAUACUAAUAGUCAGAUAAAUUUGAUCUUCAAAAUAUUGUCAAAACAAAUUUUGUGUAACCGAAGAUGCGUGUUGUUGUUAUUUUUGAUGUCUUUAUCGUACGAUUAUUUCUUCUUCGGAUCGAAUGUAAGUAUUAAUAUUAUCAAUAAAAGUUAAGUCCAUUAGCAAUAUUUUUUUAUUUUUUUCAUAUCUAAUGUAUUUACAAGUAUUAAUAUCACUCGUUUUCAAUAAGUUUUAGCUCGUAAUCUGUAAAUUAAAAGUAAAGAGAGUCAUUUUUACUUUAAAAUGCACUAGAUGAUCAUAUAUGCAUUACGAAAAUAGUUUUAUGGAAUAUUAUGGUAUUUUGCUUAAAUUUAAUAUCAAUUAUGUUAUUUCUAUUUAAAAUAUUUAUAUUUUAAUAUAAAAGUUUACGAAUUAAUUUGUUAUAAUAUUUUUAUAUAUGUGCUAGUAAAAGUUUAAUGAAUUUAAAUUAAUAUAACAAAUAUAAAAACAUAGUAUAAAAUACAAAUAGUUUUGAAAUUUUGUUUUUGGAGAACAAAAACUUUAAACUUCAAAUACAGAAUUUUAGAAGUUUCAAAAAAUAGUGUCUUUUUGGAGAUGUUCUUAGUGUCUUUCAUACCAAAGGAUAAAAUAUUUAGUGCUUAACAUAUAAGUAAAUGUGUAGUGCAUUUAGUAUAGUGUAUGUUAAAGCAUCUCCCAAAGACAUUCUAUAACUUCAAAUAUAAAGUUUUGUGUUCUCCAAAACACAACUUCAAAACUUCAAAUAAGUUUUGAGAAGAGAAACUUUAUAUUUGAAGUUUCACUAUUAAAAACUUUAAAUUUCAAGUUUCAUAUUUUUGUUUGCAUUUUGAUUCCUACAAUUACACUUCAAAAUUAUGAUUUCUAAAUAUUUUAUUGUCUAACGUUUUAAUCCUUAAAAUUUUUAUAUCUCAUAAAUAUUUAAAAAAAUUUUAAGAAAAUUAAAUAAAACUUUAAAAUAAGAUUUAAAAUAAUUUAAAACUAUAUUAAGACAACAACAAUAUACAAAAGAAACUUAACAAAAAUUAUUUUAUAAAAAUUACAUGAAUACAUAACUAUUACACAAAUAUAAAUAUCACAACAAUACUAAUAGUCAAGUAAAUUUGUUCCGAAACCUCCAAAAUCUCCAAAAUAUUCUCCAAACAAUUUUUAUUUAACCCAAGAUGGUUGUUGUUGUUACUUUUUUUAAUGUCUUUUUGGUAUAAUAUUUUCUUAUUUAGAUCGAAUAUAUUCACGAGUAUUAAUAUCAUCGAUAGAAGUUAAGUCUUUUAGCAAUAUUUUAUUUUUUUGUUCAGAUCUAAUGUAUUUACAAGUAUUAAUAUCACCCGAUUUGAACAAUUUUUAACUCGUAAUCUACAAAUUAAAAAUAAAAAGAGUAAUUUUUUACUUCAAAAUACACUAGAUAAUCAUAUAUGAAUUACGUAAAUAAUUUUAAGGAAAAUAUGGUAUUUUGCUGAAUUUUAAUAUUAAUUAUGUAUUUCUAUUUAAAGUUUUAUAUUUUAAUGUAACAUUUUAUUAAUUAAUAUUAUUGUAAUAUUUUUAUAUGUGUGCUAGUUAUUUACAGAAGUUUGAUGAAUUUAAACUAAUUAUAACAAAUAUAAGGACCACAGUAUAAAAUACAAAUAGUUUUGAAGUUAAGUUUAAAGUUUUGCUUUUGCAAAAGAACACAUUUAAACUUUAGAUAUAGAGUUUGAAAAACUUUAAAAUAAAGUGUCUUUUUGGAAGCUAUUACGGUAAAUAUGACACAAAGCUUACAAAGUUCAUGGUUAUAUUAAUAAACAUUAUGUAAACAUAUCUCUAUAAUAUUAUCUGAAAAAUUAAUUUCAUAUAUGAUGUUCUCAUGUUAAUUUUUACAAUAGUUAUUACAAAAUAACUUUAACUUUAAUAUAUUAAAUUAAACACUAAAAUGCAAUUAUUAAUAUUUUAUUUAAAUUUAUUUUCUGUUAAUAAUUGUUUCCAAACUAAUUUACUAUCAAAAAUAAAUAUCUUUUAUAUAAAUAUAUAUAGCAUUUUAUAUUUAAAAUAUGGACUUUAGAAAAACAAAUACCCUAUAUAUAAAUAAAAGGAAUUUAAAACAAAAAUGCAAUAUUUUUAAUAUUAAAAAAAUUAUAUAUAAAAAUUUAUAUCAAAGCAUGUAAUUUAAUAAAAACGAAUUUAUUUAUAUAAAUAAAAAGGAAUAGAUUAUAAAAAUAAUAAUAUAUUUAUUAAAAAUAUAGCCAUUUUUAUAUUUAAAACAUACAACUUCUGAAGACGAAUUAUUUUAUAUAUAUCAAAAAGGAUAUAUACUUAAAAUAAAAAUAUAUAACAAUUUCUCUUAUAUUUUAACAUAUUGCUUAAUCAAAAAUAAUUUCCUUUCGAAUUUUAAAAUUCAUAAAAACAUAUCGUUUUUCCUAAAUCACGUUGGUUUAAUCAAUUUAUUAUAACAUUAAAAUUUCUAAUAUUUCAUUAAUAAAAUAAAUUUGUUAUUUAGAAAUUUGUUCACAUUUGUUAGAAACAUUUUGUUGUAGGAAAUUUUUGUUAUAAAAAAUAUUUACAAUUUUCACGUUAAUAGAACAUCUUAAUUACUAUUUCUCGUGAACAACAUAAAUAGAUUCACUUAAUACUCUGCUAACCAAUUCAUUUAUCUUAAUUACUAUUUAUAAUCAAUUUUUAAUUUCCAAGUCAACAAAUUUUUUUUUAAUUACAAAUUCUCAAUCCUAAUAAUAUAUAUAUAUUCAUAUCUCUAUACAAAUUAAUAGCUGAUUAUUUAAAGUCUUAACGCUCAGCAUAAUAUUUCAAUAUCUAAGAUUUUACCGUGUUCAUAAAAAUGUCAUAUUUUGUAGAAAUCACACUCAUCGUCUUCGUUAAAGAAAUUCAUUCAUCUUUGAACAGAUGAAUGAUCAAAGUGAAAAUAAUAAAGUGACUGAGUAAAUAAAGAAAACUACAAACAAUUAUGUGGACUACACAUGUCUUCUAAGUACUCAUUGAAAAAUGUAAUAGUCUCUUAAAAGGUUUUAAUAAAUCUUACUAGAUUCUGACCCACUUUUAAAAGGGUGAAUUGGCUAUCUAGCCAAGUUUGGAGUCAACAUUAAGUAAAUAGCUUUGAUUUUGACGUUAUUAAAUUGAUAACAUUUCAUACAUAUUUUAUCCGGUUAUGUCCUUAUCAUUUCUAAGUUACCGGUGAUAAUGGCACCAAGGAUUAACUUCGACGAGAGCACAUGUCCAAGAGAAAUUGAGAUUUAAUAUUGUCCACGUACGGGUUAAUUAUUCUAAGUAAGUGUUGUAUUCCAUUUAUAAAAGUACUACGUCAGAUAGAACAAACAGAAUAUCUUCAUACGAAACAAAAUUAUAAACUCUAAACCUAACCUGCACACUUAAAUACUAAACUAUAAACUCGAGUCUCUAAAUCUAAACCCAAAUGUUAAAUUUAAUUUAAAGUUACAAUAUUUUAAGGAAAACAACAAAAAAUAAUAAAUAUAUAAAUUUUGAACUAUUAUUCUAUAUUAUCUAACAUGGAAUGAAGACUACUCUUGUAAUUCAACCCCAACCCACCUCUAACCCUAAACCCAACACACCUUCAAGACUGAAAUACUAAACCCUAAACUUGAAUUCCUAAACCCAAAUCUAAAUGUAAAAUAUUUUAGAUUAAAUUAAAAUAUGAAAAUAAUAUAUAAUAUUUUGUACUAUCACCUAUACUAUAUAAAAUGGAAAGGAAAAUAGACUUGAGAAGAAGUACUACACCCUAAACUCUAAUCACUAAACCCUAAAUCCCUCAAUAAUUAACCAUAUAACAAUCUUACCAUAAACCUCUAUAUAUUUAACCUUAAACCAUAAUCACUAAUCCCUAAACUCAAAUAUAAACCCUAAAUCCAAAUAUAAACCCUCAACCUAAACUAGAUAAAUAGUAUAGUACAUAUUGGUGAAUUUUUAAAAUUUAUAUGAUAUCAUGGAAAAAGUUAAUACUAACUCCAAAUAAUAUCAUGAAAUGUCUAUGAUAUCAUGAAAUGUCUAUUUUUUGCAAUUAUAAUAGAAUACAACAAAUAGUAAAGAUCAAAUAUUUCAUUUCACAUGAAUGGUCUUUCUAUUCUACGUACACACGAUCUAUUCCACUUAUAUACACAUUGCAUUAUUACAUAUAAAUGAGAAUAUAUUCACCAGAUGGCUCAAAUCCAGUUUCGAACAAUCUACUUGGCAGCCUAAUCUUCCAUUUGUAACCUGAGAAACAAAAGUGAAAGAUAAAGGUGUUAGGAUUCAUAUAACAAAGUAAAUGUAAAUAAAUUGUAUAGUAUAACAAUAAUGUGGAUUGAAAACCAUGUAAGACGUUAGGAAGAAGAAGAAGAAAUGUGUGACUUUCUCAUGACCACGUUUAAUUUUAACUCUCUUGAAUAAUUUUUUUUUCUUUUAAAUUGCAGGUUUAGCCGGUUGCAUUGAAGGUUAGAAGUGUAAUAUUAUAUAAAAUACACUUUGUAUCGAUGUAUUCUAGGGUAUUUGGCUACUGAUCUAAAUAUUGUUUUUUUUGUAGCCAUACCACCUAAUUCCCCCUUUUAAAAGGGCAGGUAUAUUUUUUGUUUUACAUAUUUUUUAAAAAAAAAAAUUUAUAUUUCUGUUUUUCAUUGUUAUCAUAUUUGUGUUUUUCUCUGUAAUCAUAUAAUGUAAAAUAUAUAUUUUAAAUUAUUUGUAAGAAGUUUUGAUAAUUCUAUUGAAUUUGUGAUGUUACAUAACUAUACACUUGUGCCAUAGUAUUUUUCACACGUUUGUUUUGUACUUCAUUCCUAAAUGGUUAUUAUUAUUUUUUAAGAAAGUGUUACAAUUUUGUUUAGUAAUUAAAUAGAUUAAAUUUUAUGUUCAUUAAAUUUUCAUGAUUUGAUUUUAUAUAUAAUGACAAUAACGUUAUCAUUAUACAUAAUAGUACACAUAAUAACUUUUCAUGUAAUUAAAAAUGGGUUUUGUAAAUUUUGAUCCAAUCUAUCAUCAUCAUCAUCAUCAUCAUCAUCAUCAUCAUCAUCAUCAUCAUCAUCAUCAUAUACUAAAAGGAACAUAUAAAGCUCCCACAUUGCUCCUCAGAUUAAUUAUAAUCAACCAAUCAGAAUUCAUUAUUUUUGCCAUGUCACACUCUAAUUGGGCUGAUUUUGUUGCUGAUCCGUAAGCCCACAACAUUGUUAGGCUAUAUUAGUUAUUAAUGCACAUGUUUUGUUAUUAAUUAGUAUAUAUGAUAUUUUGGUCCAGUAGCCCAAUACACCAGAAUCCUUAAAACGCAGAUCUUGAUCAUUUCUUCGACAUCCUCUCUUCAUCGUUUCAUCUUUUUUUUUUUUUGAAAGAUUCAUCGUUUCAUCUUCCUCAACGGUUCGUCGAUCAAUCAGCACACUACUCCAUAAUUGAUCAAUGAAUCCUCCAGAAAUCCCACUUAUGUCUUCCUUUCACCUUCCUUCCUCUCAAUUUCUAUAACAUUCCUCCCAAUGGAUGGUAAUCCACCAAAAAGUCUUCCGUAGCCAUUGGCAAUGCCGAAUUUCUAGAUCGAACGAACACACAUGCCUUUCAUAUGUUCAUGUCUGCCUUUCUUCAGGUUCCAACUCCCUUUUUCACAAUAUAUAAACAUAUCCUCUGAUUCUAUGCUCCACCAUCAUACACGACAAAUACAUCACGGCGAGAGAGGCAUGCUUACAGGUAUAGACCCGUAACUAUGAUGAGAUUAUUUGAUUCCCUCAGACUCUAUACGCUUACUAUUGGUUCAGCUAAUUCACCAUAGCCAUCACCCAAUUCUUCAGUGAUGUAUCUGCAGGCUUGGUAGAAGCGGAGAUGCGUUACCAGUGAAUCCAGUUCGGUCAAACAACAGUCUCUGAAGCGGGUCGAAUCAUGGUAUGUAUAUCCAUUCUGUUACUCUCCUCUCCUCAUAGCUGAACCAUCUAUUUCUGCAAUGUUUGUUUCUUUCUUAUUUUCGCUUUGUGGGUUAUUCUUCCGAUGAUCUGGAAUCUGAAAAGUUUCAAGAUUUGCGAUGAAAUCUUCUCACUGACUUUAUAAGUUUAUUUGGUUGCAUUUCAGUUCACUUACACUCAAACCUGGUAAAAUAACUUCUUUCUCUUUAGUUGUAAUUGAUCAAAAUUGUUUAGUUACAAACAUCGGAUGCUCAACUUUGUGUUCGAAACUGUAACUUUUCUGAAAAUAUUGUUAUGUAAAAGUCAAAAGAUUGCAUUUUUAUGUUUCUUGAUAAGAAUAGAAGCCUUAAAAUGGCUAUUGAUCCCAUAAUGUUUAGUUAAGCUUUGUGACAGUGACUGUUAAAUCGCUAACUUUUGUCACCAUGUGUCUCUGUUGGUAACAUCUGAUAGAAAUCCUAGGAAGAUAGCUACAAGGUUACUUGAUCCUUUUCUUGCUCACUUGAAGACAACACAAGAUUAAGUUGCUAAAGGUGGCUACUCAAUUGUUCUCAAGCCUGAGGAUAGUGACGGUGCGACUUGGUUCACUAUUAGUAAGUAAACAUUUGUAAAACACCGUCACUAAUUUCUCACUUAAUCUUUGCUUGGCAGGUUUUGACAACGGUUACAUUCACUGAGAUCCUCCCGUCGACAAAAGCCAUCGUCUCUUUCAAAGUCCCUGACAACAGUUCUGGCAAGGUUUAAAAAAUAAUAGUAAUAACCCUUUUGUGUAUGCAUUUCAGUGGUUUUGAGAUUGAUACCAUCAACUUAUGAAAUCUGUUAACAACUUGAGGUCCAGUACUUCCAUGACCAUGCAGCAGUCUCCGUACCGCAGCUUUGAAGCAGAACCCAUUGAUCGAUGUAACAGCCACUCUAGAUACACCAGUCAUUUGGUGCUGACGCUGGAUAUGACACAUCCUCCAAAACUUUCACCAAGUACAAUGCUAGAAACGUUACAAAGUACACUGAAUCAUUAUUCUCCACUCCUCACGCAAUCCAUCAUUGAAUGCAUAUACCAUUACUUCAUUUCUCUGAAUCCUGGAGAUUACCUCAACUAUAAAAAGGAACCAAAACAGAAUAACCUUCGUCAAAAUACUUUGGCACUGUAUUGUCUACAUGAGAUAACAAUGAGCAAGUAACACAGGCUCUUAUGAAUCCCCUGAAGCUGCGGAAACAUGAUCAGAGGUGUGAUUCCUUGCUUUGUUUUUUUUUCUUCGGUUUCUUCAAUUUAGUGUCCACGCAACUCUUUGUUCUAUGGUUAAUUUCUAUACACAUUGCCACCAUUGAUUCCAGAUUAUAAUAAUUCAUUGUGUUUUGGAGUUCCUGCUGUAGAUAUAUGUCUAAGCCAUUCCUCAUGUUUUGAUGUUUGAUAUAUUGUUAUAACUGAAAGUCAACUGGUACAAAUAUUAUUCUUGGUAUUAUAUAUUGAUUCAAUAUUUUUGAUCCAGUCACUAGAAAGACAAAAGUGAAACUGUGAAGAAAGGUAAUAGUACUCUUUGAUCAAUAUAAGAAUUCCUUUCUUGGUUCGAUGAGUGUGCUAAUCUCACAUGGAUCCUCGACAAUCUUUUACCAAAAAUCCAAACUAAAAGUUGGUUGUUAUAAUACAAGUUUUGUUGUACUUAAGGGAAAUGUUAUGUUAACGAAAUAGAAAAAGAAACUACAAGUCUUACAAACUUAUUACUAACCAAGUAUUUUACUAUUGUAGUUUCAAAAAGAAAAGUAUUUUACUAUUUUCAAUCAAAUGACAUUUUCUAAAAAAUAUGAUAUUAUGAGUACUAAUCACUGAACAUUUAAACCUAUACCGUUUCUAAGUUAGUUAAAAUACAUUUGAUCCCCCUUCUAAAUCAACACAUAUAUUACUAAAAUAUUAAUUUCAUAUAUUUAGUUAUUUACAAUAUAUAAAAUAUCAAUAAUAUUUUGGAUGCAAAAAUUUGAUCAAAUAAAUAUAAGGGGACAUAUUUUCAACCCAUAUAUAAAAAAAGCUCAACACGUUAAAUAAUAAUAAUGUAAUCAGUAAAUAGUUAAUCAAAAAUUUAAGACGAAACAUUUAUAAUUUUCUUAUUUUAAGAGUGUGAACAAUGGUAAAGUAAAAAUAUUUCUUUGUAUGCUUGAGUAUAUGAUAUAUAUUAUAUUUGUUUAGUAAUUUUCACGACACUAUUAAAAAGAAUCCAUUUCAUCAGAAAUAAUAUAUAGAUUAUUCAAAAUUUCAAUCAAAAAUGAAAAAAAACUAAAAUUUGAUAUUAUAUCAUAUAUGAUAUCAAAAGAAGUAGCAAGAGAAAAAAAUAAAAAUAAAUCAACAACAAAGAAAUUAUUCUAUCAACAACAAAGAAAUUACUCCAUCUACAACUCAUGAGAUAAUAAUCAAAGAAAUACAACUAAUAACAACUUCUCAACAUCAUCCGGACUAUUUAUGUAUUCAUAACUUAGUUUUGGUAUUUUAGAAAACUAAAAAAUAUAUAUUUUUGUUACAUAAAAAUGCAAGAAAAAAUUAUAUGUAACAUUCACCCAGUAAAAAGAGUAAUAUGUUCACAUGAAAGUUCUACAAUAUUCUUCAUAAAUUAAGGUUUAUAAAUAAUUAACCCGGGCGUAGCCCGGGAAAGGACCUAGUAUAAAUAAAAAAGGUGCACCGUAGUUGUUAAAAACCAGUUGUAUUUAUUUAAUAUGUUUACAUUGUUUGGUUUAUAGAAACCAAUCUGGUUCAUGGACAUUUCUUGGGUGGGGAGUGAGCUUUGGUGAUAUCAACAACGCAAGUUUUAUAUGGACCACUGAGGAGUAUUAAGAUCGGAUUGACAUAAUUUAUAUCAUAAAAUGUUUUCUCCACUGUAUAAGAUCAUGACUUCUUUCGAUGUCUCUCUCUGCAUCUUCCUGUGUAUAAGAUCAAACUCUUCCCACAUCAUUUGCACUCUGAAAAUUCUCCAUUUG
Molecule: long non-coding RNA, 9947 nt
Organism: Brassica rapa (field mustard)
Lineage: Eukaryota; Viridiplantae; Streptophyta; Magnoliopsida; Brassicales; Brassicaceae
Source: RefSeq, a predicted model, not a curated record